This is a long non-coding RNA of Stylophora pistillata, 1342 nucleotides long. RefSeq lists it as uncharacterized. NCBI's taxonomy places the organism in Eukaryota, Metazoa, Cnidaria, Anthozoa, Scleractinia, Pocilloporidae. The record is from RefSeq and is a predicted model, not a curated record.
UGUUUUGCUUAAUGACAUCUCUAAAGAUGGGUUUUACAGUUGUUCAAUGGGAAAACGAGAAUAGUGUGAGUGUUGCUAUGAAAAGCAAGUCGUUGGCGCCGUGUAGUUAAAAGAAGGGACAACGUACAAAUUAUCAACUGGCCGCUACAAGGGUCGAGCGGCCAUUUAUAAAGCUAUGGAUUCUGAAAGUUUGUGAAUCUACAGAAACAAACAGCAGAGCAUGAAGAUGCUGCUUGACAGCUUACAUUUGAAUUUUAACACACAAGAGUUUUAUCCAAAGAAGUUACAACCACAUUAACUUAAGUCAACUAAGAAUUAAAUUAAGAUACAAGCCUGACUCAGGGAGGAAAGGAUAAAAUAUUUGUAUCAUCAUCCCAAAUGAAAUGAUUCCUUAAAGACUAUUUUUUGCCUGAUAGUUAUUAGUAUUUAUUGCACUAAACAUAACCCAAGCUAUUGCAUUUCAUGAGAAAGAAUCAACAGAUUUUAUUCACAAUAUGUGUCAAACCAAAUUUACUGAUUCACUAGAACUAUUUUAAAUGAAAAGCUAUAAUUGAGGAUAACUUUUGGAAAGUUUUUAAGAAAAGAAGAAGAAAUUUCAUCCUAAUAUUACUACAUGUUGAUGUUAAUAUAAUAUACAACAGCAAAAUAAUAAUUAACAUGUGAACCUGAGUUAUAAUAAUAAUAAUAUUAAUGAUAUAUAGCUUAUAUAGCGCAAUGAUUCUCAAAGAUCCAGUGGCACUUUACAAUGAUAGUGAAAGAAAAAUUUAGUCAAUUAAUGAUUAAAGUGAAAUAAAAGAAUAGUGAAAAAUCAAUGAAAGCAAAAUCUACAACUGCCUAAAUAAAUGGGUUUUAAGUUUAGACUUAAAAGUUGUCAAAAGGUCUACUUCUCAAAUAUCAUCCAGCAAGGCGUUCCACAGAGUAGCAGCUCCAUGAGAGAACGCUCUAUAUUCAUAUGUUUUAAGAUUGCAUUUCGGUAUCAUUAAGAGAUUUUUCUUUGAAGAUCUUAGGUUUCUAUUAGGAAUGUACGGUCUUAACAGUUCACUAAGAUACAGAGGACUCAGACCAUUUAACACUUUAAAAUGAGAAGAAGUAUCUUAAAAUCAAUAUGGGCAGACACAGGCAGCCAAUGGAGGCUUCUAAGUAUAGGUGUAAUGUGAUCAUAUCUGCUAGUGGCUGUGACCAGGCGGGCAGCUGAAUUUUGUACAUGUUGUAAUCUAUUAAUUUAUGACUGCUGUAGGCCAGAUAGAAGAACGUUACAAUAAUCCAACUUUGACGAAAUAAUGGCAUGAAUAAGUAUUUCACACUGACGGUGCAUGUAAAUAAAUUUCAUUGACAACUUGAA